GUAGGUGGCAAGCGUUGUCCGGAAUUAUUGGGCGUAAAGCGCGCGCAGGUGGUUCUUUAAGUCUGAUGUGGAAGCCCCCGGCUCAACCGGGGAGGGUCAUUGGAAACUGGGGAACUUGAGUGCAGGAGAGGAAAGUGGAAUUCCACGUGUAGCGGUGAAAUGCGUAGAUAUGUGGAGGAACACCAGUGGCGAAGGCGACUUUCUGGCCUGUAACUGACACUGAGGCGCGUAAGCGUGGGGAGCAAACAGGGAUUAGAUACCCAGGUAGUCCACGCCGUAAACGAUGAGUGCUAAGUGUUGGGGGGGUUUCCCGCCCCUCAGUGCUGCAGCUAACGCAUUAAGCACUCCGCCUGGGGAGUACGGUCGCAAGACUG
Molecule: ribosomal RNA, 374 nt
Filed under: uncultured organism
Description: partial 16S ribosomal RNA
Rfam family: Bacterial small subunit ribosomal RNA
Source: RNAcentral